This 131-nucleotide non-coding RNA is filed under the name Punica granatum (pomegranate). Lineage: Eukaryota; Viridiplantae; Streptophyta; Magnoliopsida; Myrtales; Lythraceae. The record is from Rfam by way of RNAcentral.
CUACUCCUCAUGCUAUGGGAGCUGGCCAUAUCCAAAGUCAUUACCUUAGUCACAAGGAGGGUCAUACCGAGAGCAGUGCUAGCGGCUGAAGUGAAGUCGUAACGAGGUAGCCGUAUUGGAAGGUGCGGCUG